RNAcentral lists this ribosomal RNA (254 nucleotides) under uncultured bacterium. Its description in RNAcentral is "partial 16S ribosomal RNA". It matches the Rfam family "Bacterial small subunit ribosomal RNA", at positions 524 to 776 of the family's 1533-position model. The record is from RNAcentral.
UACGGGGGGGGCAAGCGUUGUUCGGAAUUACUGGGCGUAAAGGGUUUGUAGGUGGCCUGCUAAGUCAGACGUGAAAUCCCUCAGCUUAACUGGGGAACUGCGUCUGAGACUGGUAGGCUCGAGGACAGGAGAGGAACGCGGAAUUCCAGGUGUAGCGGUGAAAUGCGUAGAUAUCUGGAGGAACACCGGUGGCGAAGGCGGCGUUCUGGGACUGUUUCUGACACUGAAAAACGAAAGCCAGGGGAGCAAACGGG